AAGGCUACACUUUCAGGGAUCAUUUCUGUAGUUUGUAAAGAAAACGUUAAACUCCAAAGCUAAUCAAUACAGUCCUUUAUGGAUUGGAGGACAUGUA
RNAcentral lists this small nucleolar RNA (97 nucleotides) under Echinops telfairi (small Madagascar hedgehog). Its description in RNAcentral is "Small nucleolar RNA U3 (ENSETEG00000025907.1)". Lineage: Eukaryota; Metazoa; Chordata; Mammalia; Afrosoricida; Tenrecidae. The record is from RNAcentral.